GCCGAAGUGGUGGAACUGGGAGACACGCUGUCUUGAGGGGGCAGUGAGGGGGAAAACCCCGUGCCGGUUCGAGUCCGGCCUUCGGCAC
RNAcentral lists this transfer RNA (88 nucleotides) under Fidelibacterota bacterium. Its description in RNAcentral is "Candidatus Marinimicrobia bacterium tRNA-Leu". It matches the Rfam family "tRNA". Rfam says of the family: Transfer RNA (tRNA) molecules are approximately 80 nucleotides in length. The record is from RNAcentral. Lineage: Bacteria; Pseudomonadati; Fidelibacterota.